CGGAUGAAUCAACUCCUAGCCCUGGUUCCUAAGUUGCCUUUCUGACGUCGUUCCCACAGAAACAAUAUGGAGCCCUGGCCGUGACCAUAAGUCACCAGGGUGCAUGGCAGAAAUGCCCGCAUCUCCCGUAUCUGGAAAGGUGUUAAAGGUGCUUCAAC
RNAcentral lists this non-coding RNA (158 nucleotides) under Rahnella aquatilis. RNAcentral describes it as "MoCo sequence". It matches the Rfam family "Molybdenum/Tungsten riboswitch aptamer (Moco RNA motif)". Lineage: Bacteria; Pseudomonadati; Pseudomonadota; Gammaproteobacteria; Enterobacterales; Yersiniaceae. The record is from RNAcentral. RNAcentral also lists the same sequence under 1 other name.